ACCUCAUGGUGUGGAUAUUGAUAUAAAAGUGUUAAGAAUCUAUCCCAUGCUUGGCAUAAUGUUUCUCCUUCCUUUUAUUCAAAGUGUAAAAUUUGAUUCCUGAGAU
Molecule: small nucleolar RNA, 106 nt
Organism: Zingiber officinale
Lineage: Eukaryota; Viridiplantae; Streptophyta; Magnoliopsida; Zingiberales; Zingiberaceae
Source: RefSeq, a predicted model, not a curated record